AACGGGUGAGUAACACGUGAGCAACCUGCCUUACACACAGGGAUAACAGUUGGAAACGACUGCUAAUACCGGAUAAGACCACACUAUGGCAUCAUAGAGGGGUCAAAGUGAUUUAGCGGUGUAAGAUGGGCUCGCGUCCAAUUAGCUAGUUGGUGAGGUAACGGCCCACCAAGGCGACGAUUGGUAGCCGACUUGAGAGAGUGAUCGGCCACACUGGAACUGAGACACGGUCCAGACUCCUACGGGAGGCAGCAGUGGGGAAUAUUGGGCAAUGGAGGAAACUCUUACCCAGCAAUGCCGCGUGAGUGAUGAAGGUCUUUGGAUUGUAAAGCUCUUUGAUUGGGGACGAAUAAAUGACGGUACCCGAAGAACAAGCCCCGGCUAACUAUGUGCCAGCAGCGGC
This 403-nucleotide ribosomal RNA is filed under the name uncultured bacterium. RNAcentral describes it as "bacterial SSU rRNA". It matches the Rfam family "Bacterial small subunit ribosomal RNA", at positions 101 to 518 of the family's 1533-position model. The record is from RNAcentral.